Molecule: ribosomal RNA, 822 nt
Filed under: Pseudocercospora dypsidis
Lineage: Eukaryota; Fungi; Ascomycota; Dothideomycetes; Mycosphaerellales; Mycosphaerellaceae
Description: partial large subunit ribosomal RNA
Rfam family: Eukaryotic large subunit ribosomal RNA
Source: RNAcentral
CCCUAGUAACGGCGAGUGAAGCGGCAACAGCUCAAAUUUGAAAUCUGGCGUAAGCCCGAGUUGUAAUUUGUAGAGGAUGCUUCUGGGUAGCGGCCGGUCUAAGUUCCUUGGAACAGGACGUCAUAGAGGGUGAGAAUCCCGUAUGUGACUGGCUUGCACCCUCCACGUAGCUCCUUCGACGAGUCGAGUUGUUUGGGAAUGCAGCUCUAAAUGGGAGGUAAAUUUCUUCUAAAGCUAAAUACCGGCCAGAGACCGAUAGCGCACAAGUAGAGUGAUCGAAAGAUGAAAAGCACUUUGGAAAGAGAGUUAAAAAGCACGUGAAAUUGUUGAAAGGGAAGCGCCCGCAACCAGACUUUGCGGCGGUGUUCGGCUGGUCUUCUGACCGGUUUACUCGCCGCCGUGAGGCCAUCAUCGUCUGGGACCGCUGGAUAAGACCUGAGGAAUGUAGCUCCCUUCGGGGUGUGUUAUAGCCUCUGGUGAUGCAGCGCGUCUCGGGCGAGGUCCGCGCUUCGGCAAGGAUGAUGGCGUAAUGGUUGUCGGCGGCCCGUCUUGAAACACGGACCAAGGAGUCUAACAUCUAUGCGAGUGUUCGGGUGUCAAACCCCUACGCGUAAUGAAAGUGAACGGAGGUGGGAACUUUUUGUGCACCAUCGACCGAUCCUGAUGUCCUCGGAUGGAUUUGAGUAAGAGCAUAGCUGUUGGGACCCGAAAGAUGGUGAACUAUGCCUGAAUAGGGUGAAGCCAGAGGAAACUCUGGUGGAGGCUCGCAGCGGUUCUGACGUGCAAAUCGAUCGUCAAAUUUGGGUAUAGGGGCGAAAGACU